This is a long non-coding RNA of Sander lucioperca (pikeperch), 166 nucleotides long. RefSeq lists it as uncharacterized. Lineage: Eukaryota; Metazoa; Chordata; Actinopteri; Perciformes; Percidae. The transcript has 3 exons. The record is from RefSeq and is a predicted model, not a curated record.
ACGUACAUGUUCCACCAAAACAAGUUCCUUCCCGAGGCUAUUUUGCAGCGGCACCUUGGCUCCGUACGGUGCUUAGCGGCGCCCAAGAUGAUUGCAAUUGGUUUAAGGAAAUGCCAAUAAACCAGAGCACGUUUUUCUCCCAUCCUGGAAUCAAAACUAUGAAUCC